GCUGCUGGCGUCCGCGCCCUCAACGCCCCAGCCUUCCAAGUUGAGGCGAAAGCCACCUCUUCGGGCCUGCGUCGCAUCCAACUUACUCUAAGUUUUCUGGUGACUCCUACGGGGCCCCUUUCCGUACCCUCCGGCACCCCCCCUCCCUUAGUGAGAUUGACAGUCGCGUGGAGGAGGCUUUUCCAGGCACAGCCUUUCUCAUGGUAAUCAGCCCCCAGCAUCACCUCCCGGCCGCGGCUGCGCCCGCUCGGAGCGCGGCUCGCGGACCCCGGGGACCGGAAACAGGGCGGCGGGCGGGGAGCAGGCGAGCGAGCCAGGCUCAACUCCGAAUGGAUUGGAUUGCGAGUCUGCACGUGAGAAAACCGUUUGGCUUGGCUUGGACCCCUGCCGCCCCCCACCCCCUCCACACACACCCAAUCCAGGGGUCCCCUUUAUCACCCUUUGCUUGCAACUCCAAAAGAAGUUGCCCACCUCCUGAGU
Molecule: long non-coding RNA, 480 nt
Organism: Macaca mulatta (Rhesus monkey)
Lineage: Eukaryota; Metazoa; Chordata; Mammalia; Primates; Cercopithecidae
Source: RefSeq, a predicted model, not a curated record